CACCAUUGGUAAGUUGUUUUCGUUUGUUUUGUUAUUUUUCUCAAAAUUGGGGUUUGUAAUUAAGGUUUAAAAUGUUAUUUUUGUAGUUUUUUAUGUCUGCGUGCUUUUAUUUUUCAUGCAUAUUGUGACUUUUUUGCUUGUCUUUAAAUGAGAUUUAACCUAGUUUUUUAACAUGAAUAUUGUACAUGUCCAUGUUAGUGGAGGAUAUAUUCACUAUGGAGUCAAAGAAUCUUCGUUCACUCCAAGAAGCACUAAAGAAUUAGUGCAUUGCUUAUUGUUUAUCCUAUUCUUUAUUGCUGUGGUUAGGCGUGAUUGCAAUCAGUCCACGGUGAUUCUAAGAAUAUUCCUUCACCCC
Molecule: long non-coding RNA, 355 nt
Filed under: Elaeis guineensis (African oil palm)
Lineage: Eukaryota; Viridiplantae; Streptophyta; Magnoliopsida; Arecales; Arecaceae
Description: long non-coding RNA (EGUI_LNC082261)
Source: RNAcentral